AUGAAAGCAGGAGGCAUAAAAGAAAGCCUCCAAAGCAUCAUAAAAGGUCUUAUCCUAAACGAAAGACUUCCUAUAAGGAUCCCUAUAAGGAAUCAAAUAAAUCGCGUCGAAAAACCAGACGCAAGGUUUCCUCAAAAUCCAAGGAUACUUGUUGGACUUGCGGCAAAACAGGCCAUCGAGCCAAAGAUUGCACAUCAGGCAAAAAGAAGAAAAUAAAUCUUCUCGAUUUGACUGAUGAAACCAAGGAAAAGCUCUUCUCUAUAAUGGAAGAUCCCUCCGAAGCAUCUGACUCUUAUUCUUCUUCCGAGGAUGAAUACAGCGACGAAGAUUACAUCAACGCCGCUUACGAGUCUGAUAGCUCCCAAACCGGGCAAGACUGUGAGUGCAAUAGCACUUUCUGCACCUGCACCCGUAAAACCAUCAAUGUCAUUUCAGACAAACCAAAAGAAAUCUUGUUUGACAUCAUAGAACAUAUCGAUGAUGAAGAACUCAGACAUAAGUAUCUCCAAGAACUUAAGCGCCUUGUGCUUUCUUCCGAUGAAGGCACUUCCAAACCUAAACCUGUUGUUCAGCCUUUCUCCAUGACUAGAGUAAUGGCAAAGUUCAAACCUCCCUCUGAGCCCUCUAUCGCAGACCUCAAAGGAGAGGUCUCUACAUUAAAAAGUGAGAUCAAAAAUCUGAAGACUCGCCUUGAUCAAGUAGAGCUACACGUUCUGACUGAUCAAAUCCUGCAUACCGCUUCACCAACAGCUCUUCCCCCUACAUCUCAGGCACUCAGCCCCCCUACUGAUCAUCUCCAAGAGCCAAUGUCUUUUCCGGGAGAAGAUGCUUCGACUAUCCCAUCUACGUCUGCAGCAAUCGCAGCCAUCAAGGCUUAUAGCGAACAUAUUGCUGUUAAGAUCGUUAUUGCCAAAGACUUUGUAUUAAACAAAGUAGCCCUUUUUGAUACCGGCGCUGACAGUAAUUGUAUUGUCAAAGGCCUUAUUCCCACUCGGUAUCUCCAAAAGAGUACCUCCAAGCUAUACUCAGCCACGGGUGAAAAAAUGCGAAUUGAUUACCAACUUCGCCAAGCUCAUAUCUGUAAUAACGGCGUAUGCCUUAUUAAUGAUUUUGUCAUUACUGAAGAUAUCACUGAAGAUAUCAUACUUGGCAUCCCCUUUAUCAACCAGAUCAGACCUUACCAAAGUAAUUACGAUGGUAUUCGGACCACCUUGAUGGACACUGAUCUGUUUUUCCCUUUACUUCGGCCGCUCUCCUCUCAUGAGCAGCAGCGUAUCAAAGACGAAACCGUCUUUAAGAUCAAUCGUCUUUCCUCUCAUCUUGCCUUUCUACAGCACGAUAUUCAGCUCAAACGUAUUGAGCACACUUUAAACACCCCGGAGAUGGUUAGCAAAAUUUCCACUCUCCAGCAAAAGUUUGAAAACGAGAUUUGCUCCGAAUUGCCAAACGCCUUUUGGGAACGCAAACGACACCUCGUUGAACUUCCAUACAUAUCUGGCUUCGAUGAACAAAACAUCCCCACUAAAGCCAGACCAAUCCAAAUGAAUCAUGAGAUGAUGGAAAUCUGUAAAACAGAAAUCAAUCAUCUUCUUGAAAAAGGAAUUAUCCGCCCUUCUAACUCUCCAUGGAGUUGCUCAGCAUUUUAUGUAAAUAACAGUGCUGAAAAAGAAAGAGGAACACCCAGGCUUGUAAUAAAUUAUAAGCCACUAAAUGCAGUCUUAAAAUGGAUUAGACAUCCUAUUCCCAACAAAAGGGAUCUUUUAAAGCGAACUUAUAAAGCUAACCUUUAUAGCAAGUUCGAUAUGAAAUCAGGCUUCUGGCAAAUUCAGAUUGCCGAAAAGGAUAAAUAUAAGACGGCAUUCAAUGUUCCUUUUGGACAUUAUGAAUGGAAUGUCUUACCCUUCGGGCUUAAGAAUGCCCCUUCAGAAUUCCAAAAUAUUAUGAAUAACAUUUUUAAUGAUUAUUCUUAUAUGACCAUUGUUUAUAUUGACGAUGUGUUAAUCUUUUCUGAGAAUAUUGAUUCUCAUUUUAAACAUCUUAACACUUUCUUUAAGAUUGUCAAAUUAAAUGGUUUGGUAGUAAGCGCUAAAAAAAUGCAGCUCUUCCAGACUUCUAUCCGAUUUCUAGGACAUGAUCUGCACCAAGGAAGUCACAAGCCCAUCUGUAGAGCCAUAGAAUUCUCUACUAAAUUUCCUGAUGAAAUUACUGACAAAACGCAACUUCAAAGGUUCUUAGGAAGCCUAAAUUAUGUUGCUGACUUUAUUCCUAACGUUAGGCAGGUCUGUGAACCCCUUUAUCAGCGUCUCAAGAAAAAUCCAAUUCCUUGGGGUCCUGAGCAAACAAAAGCGAUCGUCAAGGUCAAGUCUUUGGUUAAAAACCUUCCCUGCCUAGGAAUCCCCAAUCCUGAUGCUUUUAUGAUUGUUGAAACAGAUGCUUCAGACCUAGGGUAUGGAGGUAUCCUGAAGCAAAAGAUGAGUGAACAGUCGUCAGAACAAUUAGUACGUUUUACCUCAGGAGUUUGGAAUUCUGCCCAGAGGAAUUACAGUACAGUUAAAAAAGAAGUUUUAUCUAUAGUGCUAUGUAUCACUAAAUUCCAGGAUGACCUUAUUAAUAAGGAAUUUCUUCUAAGAGUUGAUUGUAAAUCAGCCAAAGAGAUUUUACAAAAAGAUGUUAAAAAUCUCGUUUCUAAACAGAUAUUUGCUAGAUGGCAAGCUCUCCUAUCUAGCUUUGAUUUUCAAAUUGAAUUCAUAAAAGGAGAACACAAUUCCCUUCCCGAUUUUCUGACAAGAGAAUUUCUACAGGGCCAUGAGACCAACACUGCCGGGCAACAGCCCCAAGACGGAACAACAAAGAAUGGCUAGACCAUUCGAUUCUCCAAAUCCAGCCUCAAAUCCUUUACGGCCCACAGUACCACAGAGGCCGACCAUCAAGACAGAAACUCCCAACCGAUUCUCUGCUUUGACAGAAAUACAAUUUCCCAAAUUAUCUCCACCAAUGCCCACGAAGUUGGUAGACCUCAAGACAAAUUUGCCUCUGGAAAAAGGAUCGUCUGCGGCAAGCUCUUCCUCCAUCCAGACCAAACAGAGCUAUGCCAUGAAGGCCCCUGAGACCUUCGCUCAGGCGGUAAAUCCUGCUGCUGCCACAGUUACUCCUCCCUCUCCCACCAAAGAGGAAUUCAAAUUUAUUACUUCCACUGUAAUGCCUAUCAUUUCUCUCGAUAAGGCUUACGAAGGAUACCCGGUCAACCAGUUAAUCAGGCCGAUAUAUACUACUAAUAACUUUGUGGAUACAGAAGAUCCACUCAAGACUCGCAGAUAUUACGAAGCUAUUCUGGUCGACACGGAUUCGAUCGAAGUAGAACAUUCACUGGAUAACAACAAUCCAGAUUAUAUCAGUUAUUCUAAAUUCACCAUAAAAAGGAUAUUAACUCCUUUUAAUUGGUUUGUUGAUCAUUUACACACCCCCAUCGCUCUAUCUAUGCCACACAGGCCUCAAACCUACAACUGGCA
This 3509-nucleotide long non-coding RNA is filed under the name Capsicum annuum. Its description in RNAcentral is "long non-coding RNA (CANN_LNC021713)". Lineage: Eukaryota; Viridiplantae; Streptophyta; Magnoliopsida; Solanales; Solanaceae. The record is from RNAcentral.